CAAUAGCGUAUAUUAAAGUUGUUGCAGUUAAAAAGCUCGUAGUUGGAUUUCUGGUGGGAGCGAUCGGUCUGGCGCUUAGCGCGAGUACUUGCAUCGUCUCCGGCCAUCCUUGGGGAGAGUCUGUCUGGCAUUAAGUUGUCGGGCAGAGGAUCCUCAUCGUUUACUGUGAAAAAAUUAGAGUGUUCAAAGCAGGCUUAUGCCGUUGAAUAUAUUAGCAUGGAAUAGUAAGAUAGGACUUUGGUACUAUUUUGUUGGUUUGCGCACCAAAGUAAUGAUUAAUAGGGACAGUUGGGGGUAUUCGUAUUCCGUUGUCAGAGGUGAAAUUCUUGGAUUUACGGAAGACGAACUACUGCGAAAGCAUUUACCAAGGAUGUUUUCAUUAA
This 383-nucleotide ribosomal RNA is filed under the name uncultured eukaryote. RNAcentral's name for it is "partial 18S ribosomal RNA". It matches the Rfam family "Eukaryotic small subunit ribosomal RNA", at positions 592 to 976 of the family's 1831-position model. The record is from RNAcentral.